GACGAACGCUGGCGGCGUGCCUAACACAUGCAAGUCGAACGAGGUCCAUCCUUCGGGAGAAGACCUAGUGGCGAACGGGUGAGUAACACGUGAGAAACCUGCCCCGAAGACCGGGAUAACCCUCCGAAAGGAGAGCUAAUACCGGAUGCCCCCACCGAGCCGCAUGGCUUGGUGAGGAAAUGGAUUCCGCUUCGGGAGGGUCUCGCGGCCUAUCAGCUAGUUGGUGGGGUAACGCCCACCAAGGCAUCGACGGGUAGCUGGUCUGAGAGGACGAUCAGCCACACUGGGACUGAGACACGGCCCAGACUCCUACGGAGGCAGCAGUGGGGAAUCUUGCGCAAUGGGCGAAAGCCUGACGCAGCAACGCCGCGUGGGGGAUGAAGGCUCUCGGGUUGUAAACCCCUUUCAGCAGGGACGAAAUCAGACGGUACCUGCAGAAGAAGCUCCGGCUAACUACGUGCCAGCAGCCGCGGUAAU
This 477-nucleotide ribosomal RNA is filed under the name uncultured bacterium. RNAcentral describes it as "bacterial SSU rRNA". It matches the Rfam family "Bacterial small subunit ribosomal RNA", at positions 28 to 524 of the family's 1533-position model. The record is from RNAcentral.